Myxocyprinus asiaticus (Chinese sucker) is the source of this 1638-nucleotide long non-coding RNA. RefSeq lists it as uncharacterized. The record is from RefSeq and is a predicted model, not a curated record. Lineage: Eukaryota; Metazoa; Chordata; Actinopteri; Cypriniformes; Catostomidae. The transcript has 3 exons.
UCCCGUGCGCUCAGACCUGAAGCUUUCCAUGUUGUCACAGCUGAACGGGAUCCAUCGCCGGUGAUCGUUCACACUUUUGAACAAUCGUAAAUCGAUUGGAAUUUAAAGUAGAUUUCUUUGCACUACAGUUCCAAAGUAGUGUGUGCGUGCGUUUCAUAACAACUACUGCGCCCCCUUUUGAAAUGGGUGUGAAGAUGCUGCAGUGCUUCCCAUUCUACAGACGCUGCAAGGAGAGGUGCAAAAGACAGUGCCCUCCAGAGACGGCAGUAGCAAGUGAAGAGCUGAAACCUCGACUGUUGUCCACUGCCUCCUGGGGCAGUGAAGGGGACAGUGGCAGUAGUCCAAGCUGCCCACAGGCCUAUUUUUCCCACAAGGCUCGGCUCUCUCUCCGACACCGGAUGGACAGCAACAUCAAUGCAGUGGAUGCCACAUACUAACUCUGUCCUGCAAGUGGUCUCUUAAGAAUUCUUGAAAGUGAACUUUGGCCUUUCAGCUACAAACCAGUUUACAUCCCUUGGUUGAGAGCCUUUGAGGGUAACUUUUGGAUGAGACACUGGGAAGAUGGAAAAAGCAGCAUGAAAGACAACUAUUCGAAUUUGUGCUCUAAAUUUCACCUCCAGUGGCACUGAUGAGUGUCAGCAUUACACAUUUUAACAAUGUCAAGAUACAGAAAGUGUAUAAAUGUCUCUAACAUAAUGGUACAGCUGAGUGUCAUUUGGUGAAAGGGGAAAUGACAAAACACUCUAGUGAGUGAUGUUUACAUGAUCAAUAAGUGCUUUUUGUGUAGCCUGUAGUAUUUGUAAUCUGCAGUAUCUUUUAUACAUGUAGCUGUAGUAUCUGUGAUUUUAAUUUUAAAUGAACUAGAUGCUUCUGGUUGGUUUAAUCUGAGGAGACACAGAUAUGCAACUGAUUAUUUUGAGCUAGAGAACAAUUAGUUCAACAAUCAGAAGUUCACUCUACGUAAGCCUCACUGGUCAUAAAUUUAGUGUAUGAGCAACUGAAUAUGUCUUUUUUCACAUAAAUGGAAAGGAGAAUUUCAAAGCUCUUUUAUCUUUCUAAGUGCCAUUGUUUUCCCUACAAGCUGUAAAAGAUACAUUAACAUCCAUAUAGCGUGCACGGCUAUAACUUAAAAUUUCAAGUUCAGUUUUAUUAUCUAGAAUUUCAAUGCCUUCUGAAAUAAAACAUAUUUUGCUCCAGAAAGGUAGUUUAAGCAAUGGCUUAAUGUACGAUUUUAUGGUCUCACCAACUAAUGUAUUAACAUACAGAUGGCCGAUUUCUAAAUCUUUAAGAGUUGUUCUUUCGAUUUGAUGUAUAAGAAAUUCAAGAAGAUGGAGAUGUUCAUCAUGAUCAACUCAUUGCUUCUGUUACUACAAAUGUCUGUAAAAAAUGUUUCACAUGUGCUAACAAAGUAUGUGCAUCUGGCUGUCUUCAAUUUGUCUGAGUGCAUGUAUAAACAUUUGAGGUUUCUAAAUGUUAUAUAUGGUUUCGUUUUACACCCUAAACUAGGAAAAGAACAGAGAAUUCACAAGACACUGUAACGUGGUCAUGAUUAAUAUUACUGUUAUGAAUGAUUCCUUAAGAUAUUUUUGUACGAGACAAUGUGAAAAUUUUCUAAAAUAAAAUACAAAUUUUAGCAAA